GACGAACGCUGGCGGCGUGCCUAACACAUGCAAGUCGAACGAAAAGGUCCGGCUUGCAGGGUCCUCGAUUGGCGAACGGGUGAGUAACACGUGGGGGAUCGGCCCUGCUCUCCGGGAUAAGUCCGGGAAACGGGGACUAACUCCGGACAGAAGCCAUAUUGCGUGUGGUUGUUGGAGAGUUUGUUUGGUUUGGGAUGAGGGUGCGGCCGAUCAGCGUGGUGGAGGGGUAAUGGGCUAGCAAGGAUGCGACGGGUAACCGGCCUGAGAGGGUGGCCAGGCACAUUGGGACUGGGAUUCGGCCCAGACUCCUACGGGAGGGAGAAGUAGGGAAUGUUGAACUAUGGGCGCAAGCCUGAGGCAGCGACGCCGCGUGCGGGAUGACGGCCUACGGGUUGGAAACGCCUUUCGCUAGGGACGAAGCUGUUAGUGACGGUACCUAGAUAAGAAGCACCGGCUAACUACGUG
RNAcentral lists this ribosomal RNA (465 nucleotides) under uncultured bacterium. RNAcentral describes it as "partial 16S ribosomal RNA". It matches the Rfam family "Bacterial small subunit ribosomal RNA", at positions 28 to 507 of the family's 1533-position model. The record is from RNAcentral.